Molecule: small nucleolar RNA, 82 nt
Organism: Corylus avellana
Lineage: Eukaryota; Viridiplantae; Streptophyta; Magnoliopsida; Fagales; Betulaceae
Product: small nucleolar RNA Z199
Source: RefSeq, a predicted model, not a curated record
CAAUCAAGGGAUGAGAGAAACUGCAACAAUAUGAUUGGCUACAUCCAAUGAUUUUUUUUUGGUAUUCAAGUCUCUGAUGAUC